RNAcentral lists this non-coding RNA (72 nucleotides) under Pseudomonas berkeleyensis. Lineage: Bacteria; Pseudomonadati; Pseudomonadota; Gammaproteobacteria; Pseudomonadales; Pseudomonadaceae. The record is from RNAcentral.
AAGCGAAACCUAGCCCCACCAGGGGCGAAGGUCUGCCGGGCGUGGUGGCCCGGUACUGAUGAGCAGCCGCAA